This 323-nucleotide unclassified non-coding RNA is filed under the name soil metagenome. RNAcentral describes it as "partial contains 5.8S ribosomal RNA, internal transcribed spacer 2, and large subunit ribosomal RNA". The stretch from base 1 to 120 matches the Rfam family "5.8S ribosomal RNA", at positions 35 to 154 of the family's 154-position model. The record is from RNAcentral.
GAUGAAGAACGUAGCGAAAUGCGAUAAGUAAUGCGAAUUGCAGAAUUCAGUGAGUCAUCGAAUCUUUGAACGCACAUUGCGCCCUGUGGUAUUCCGCAGGGCAUGCCUGUUCGAGCGUCAUUUCAACCCUCAAGCUCUGCUUGGUGUUGGGCCCUGCCCGCUGCGGCCGGCCCUAAAGACAGUAGCGGUGCCGCCUGGCCCUGAGCGUAGUACAUCUCUCGCUCCAGUGCCCGGUGGUAGCCUGCCAGAACCCCAACUCUCGUGGUUGACCUCGGAUCAGGUAGGGAUACCCGCUGAACUUAAGCAUAUCAAUAAGCGGAGGA